GGGGGGGGGUGGGGGGGGGCGUGGGAGGUGGGGGGCGAGCGGGCGGGGGGGGGGCUGGCUCCUGUGGGGUUGUCGGCGGGGGGGGGAUUAACACGGGUAUGCCAUACCUCUACGACUGGGCUGCCUUCGGGAGACCGGGCCUCCUACCGGUUACUAUAUUUACACGACUGGUUCAGUAUUGCCAGCCAGUUUUUCUUUCACUUAUCGCUUGAUCCUCUCCGCAUUAACUAGUUGGUCAGGUACAGGCUUACCAACGCAACUAUGCGUAGCCGACCUGAGAGGGUGAUCGGCCACAAUGGAACUGAUACACGGUCCAGACUCCUACGGGAGGCAGCAGUAGGGAAUCUUCCGCAAUGGGCGAAAGCCUGACGGAGCAACGCCGCGUGAGUGAUGAAGGUCUUCGGAUCGUAAAACUCUGUUAUUAGGGAAGAACAAAUGUGUAAGUAACUAUGCACGUCUUGACGGUACCUAAUCAGAAAGCCACGGCUAACUACGUG
Molecule: ribosomal RNA, 497 nt
Filed under: uncultured bacterium
Lineage: Bacteria
Description: partial 16S ribosomal RNA
Rfam family: Bacterial small subunit ribosomal RNA
Source: RNAcentral